Molecule: long non-coding RNA, 149 nt
Organism: Melanotaenia boesemani (Boeseman's rainbowfish)
Lineage: Eukaryota; Metazoa; Chordata; Actinopteri; Atheriniformes; Melanotaeniidae
Exons: 3
Source: RefSeq, a predicted model, not a curated record
CCUUGCAAAGGAAGGGGUUGAACCAAACCGGCCUGAGUCAGUCAAAGGUCCCAGCACAAGCACUGCUGCCUCCUCUGCAAAGAGAGAACUUGUUAUAGAGGAUACCAGUGAAGAUGCUCCAUCGGCACAGCCACAAGCUGUUGUUCCCC